CAGAGCGUGAGGUCCAGCCAUGGCAGUUGUCGUGGGCUGGAUCGACCCUCCACCCGUGUCGACUUGUAUUUUUGUUGCUUUGGCGGGCCGGGCUCGCCCAUGGUCGCGUUUCGUACGUGUGCGUAUGGCGUGUUGCCCACCGGCUUCGGCUGGAGCGUGUCCGCCGGAGACUCUAUAACCAAAACCUAUUGCUGUCCAUGUAGUCUAAGGCAAGAUUUAAAGAAUUGAU
Molecule: unclassified non-coding RNA, 229 nt
Filed under: Erysiphe michikoae
Lineage: Eukaryota; Fungi; Ascomycota; Leotiomycetes; Helotiales; Erysiphaceae
Description: partial ITS1
Source: RNAcentral